AGUGGUAUAGUUGCGUCAUAUGGUGGUCCCAUUCCAAGUUCUCCAAGGAAUCUCCAUACUGCUUUUCAGACUGGUUGCACCAAUUUGCAGUCCCACCAACAAU
This 103-nucleotide microRNA precursor is filed under the name Marmota monax (woodchuck). The record is from RNAcentral. Lineage: Eukaryota; Metazoa; Chordata; Mammalia; Rodentia; Sciuridae.